GACGAACGCUGGCGGCGUGCUUAACACAUGCAAGUCGAACGGAAAGGCCCUGCUUUUGUGUGGUGCUCGAGUGGCGAACGGGUGAGUAACACGUGAGUAACCUGCCCUUGACUUUGGGAUAACUUCAGGAAACUGGGGCUAAUACCGGAUAGGAGCUCCUGCUGCAUGGUGGGGGUUGGAAAGUUUCGGCGGUUGGGGAUGGACUCGCGGCUUAUCAGCUUGUUGGUGGGGUAGUGGCUUACCAAGGCUUUGACGGGUAGCCGGCCUGAGAGGGUGACCGGCCACAUUGGGACUGAGAUACGGCCCAGACUCCUACGGGAGGCAGCAGUGGGGAAUAUUGCACAAUGGGCGGAAGCCUGAUGCAGCAACGCCGCGUGCGGGAUGACGGCCUUCGGGUUGUAAACCGCUUUCGCCUGUGACGAAGCGUGAGUGACGGUAAUGGAUAAAGAAGCACCGGCUAACUACGUG
RNAcentral lists this ribosomal RNA (468 nucleotides) under uncultured bacterium. RNAcentral describes it as "partial 16S ribosomal RNA". It matches the Rfam family "Bacterial small subunit ribosomal RNA", at positions 28 to 507 of the family's 1533-position model. The record is from RNAcentral.